This 505-nucleotide ribosomal RNA is filed under the name uncultured bacterium. RNAcentral's name for it is "partial 16S ribosomal RNA". It matches the Rfam family "Bacterial small subunit ribosomal RNA", at positions 28 to 523 of the family's 1533-position model. The record is from RNAcentral.
GAUGAACGCUAGCGAUAGGCCUAACACAUGCAAGUCGAGGGGCAGCACGGGAGUAGCAAUACAACUGGUGGCGACCGGCGCACGGGUGAGUAACGCGUAUGUAAUCUACCUACAACAGGGGGAUAACCCGGAGAAAUCCGGACUAAUACCGCAUAAAACAGGGGUCCCGCCUGGGACUAUUUGCUAAAGAUUUAUCGGUUGUAGAUGAGCAUGCGUUCCAUUAGAUAGUUGGUAAGGUAACGGCUUACCAAGUCAGCGAUGGAUAGGGGAACUGAGAGGUUUGUCCCCCACACUGGAACUGAGACACGGACCAGACUCCUACGGGAGGCAGCAGUGAGGAAUAUUGGUCAAUGGGCGAGAGCCUGAACCAGCCAAAUCGCGUGAAGGAAGACUGCCUUAUGGGUUGUAAACUUCUUUUACAGGGGAAUAAAAAGACAUACGAGUAUGUCAUUGCAUGUACCCUGUGAAUAAGCAUCGGCUAACUCCGUGCCAGCAGCCGCUGUAA